GACGAACGCUGGCGGCGUGCUUAACACAUGCAAGUCGAACGGAAAGGCCUAGCUUGCUGGGUACUCGAGUGGCGAACGGGUGAGUAACACGUGGGUGAUCUGCCCCUGACUUUGGGAUAAGCCUGGGAAACUGGGUCUAAUACCGGAUAUUCAUUUUUCCUCGCAUGGGGAUUUGUGGAAAGCUUUUGCGGUUGGGGAUGGGCCCGCGGCCUAUCAGCUUGUUGGUGGGGUAAUGGCCUACCAAGGCGACGACGGGUAGCCGACCUGAGAGGGUGAUCGGCCACACUGGGACUGAGACACGGCCCAAACCCCUACGGGGGGCAGGAGGGGGGAAUAUUGCACAAGGGGCGCAAGCCUGAUGCAGCGACGCCGGGUGGGGGAGGCCGGCCUUCGGGUGGUAAACCUCUUUCAGCCCCGACGAAGCGCAAGUGACGGUAGGGGAAGAAGAAGCCCCGGCCAACUACGG
Molecule: ribosomal RNA, 466 nt
Filed under: uncultured bacterium
Lineage: Bacteria
Description: partial 16S ribosomal RNA
Rfam family: Bacterial small subunit ribosomal RNA
Source: RNAcentral